AGUGAACGCUGGCGGUAGGCCUAACACAUGCAAGUCGAACGGCAGCACGGUAAGAGCUUGCUCUUACGGGUGGCGAGUGGCGGACGGGUGAGGAAUACAUCGGAAUCUACUUUUUCGUGGGGGAUAACGUAGGGAAACUUACGCUAAUACCGCAUACGACCUACGGGUGAAAGCAGGGGAUCUUCGGACCUUGCGCGAUUGAAUGAGCCGAUGUCGGAUUAGCUAGUUGGCGGGGUAAAGGCCCACCAAGGCGACGAUCCGUAGCUGGUCUGAGAGGAUGAUCAGCCACACUGGAACUGAGACACGGUCCAGACUCCUACGGGAGGCAGCAGUGGGGAAUAUUAGACAAAGGGCGCAAGCCUGAUCCAGCCAUACCGCGUGGGUGAAGAAGGCCUUCGGGUUGUAAAGCCCUUUUGUUGGGAAAGAAAAGCAGCAGGUUAAUACCCCGCUGUUCUGACGGUACCCAAAGAAUAAGCACCGGCUAACUUCGUG
This 492-nucleotide ribosomal RNA is filed under the name uncultured bacterium. RNAcentral describes it as "partial 16S ribosomal RNA". It matches the Rfam family "Bacterial small subunit ribosomal RNA", at positions 29 to 507 of the family's 1533-position model. The record is from RNAcentral.